UCAAAUCUGAGACCCCUUGAACGAGGUGAUGGCUGAGAUCUUUCCAGCUCUAUGGUGAUACACUUUGGAUAUGGCGCCCACCUUUAUUAGCCUGAAAGUCACAGGGUUUCCUUAUCAGACUGUGGAUCAUGGGCUUCAGAACUUCAUAGCAAUGGACUUUCUGGAAAGCAGUGUCAGAGCUCCUGGGAAUGAAAAGAGGCUGAUCUGACCCAUGAAUCCCCUUUUACUGAAGCGCAUUUGUAACAUGUGUUCUGGAAAUUUUCUGUGCUUAGCACCAACUGUUUUCAGGAAAAUGGUUGUUUUCAUACUGCUCAGAAAAUAUAUCUGGUUAAUUGGUCUGCAAAUGCCAGUGUGAGAUCAGUAUGUGUUAGACUCUGUAGGUGCAGCUUAGUAGUAGGAUGCUUGCCAAGCGUGACCAAGACCAGGAUUUGAGCUCCAGCACUUCCAAAAUAAAAUUUUCUGUGUAUGUUUGCAUCACAGUAUCUUUCUAAAAACAGGAUUGCUAAAAAGUACCUCUUAGAUGUUAUAACAAUCUAAUUUUGUACAGUGCUGUGGUUCUGUGGCUUACAUGACCUUUGCAGCCAAGAGCAGCAGUGGCCUUAAAAGCUCCUUUUCAAAAGCAUCGUCCCAGCCCACUGAGCCACCUGUCAGAAGCACAGCCCUGGUGCAGAGUCAGAUACUGCUCGAUCUGUGAGCAUGCCACAAUGGCUCAAAUAAAGACAGUAUGGCUCCUUAAACUUUCUUAUUAUUGAAACGUUUUAACUUACUCAUGAGUGGAAGGAACAGCAUGACAAACUGCCAUGUACAUCAGCCCAGCUUGAACAAUUAACAUUUUGCUAAACUUGUUUCCUCUAGCCCCCCACUGUAAUUUUGAAACAUUUUAGAGAAGUUUAGACAUUUUGUUGUUUUGACCAUAAAUAUUUCAGUGUGCCUCUAACUUAUAAGCAUAUUUUAAAAUAUAUAUAACCAUCAGGCCAUUAUCAUAUGUAACAAAACUAACAGUAAAUCUUGUAAUAGUCCAAAUUCACAUUUCUCCAGCUGUCUCCAAGAUUUCUUUCUAGACCUAGUCUCCUGGAGUCUAGCACUAGUUUUCAGGACCGAGUUAAUAGCAUCAAAAGAGCAGGUUCUUACCUUGGCCUCAGGCCUUGGGUGCAAGUGUUGUACCAGCCAUAUUUAUGGUUAAGACAUUGAGAAUCUUUUAAAAGCCAGGCUUUGUGGAAUGGGCUUUCUUUUUUUUUUUUUUCUUUUUUGUUAAAUUCCAGCACAUAGAAGGCAAAGUCAGGCAGCUCUCUGUGAGUUCAACCCCAAAUAGUUCUAAGACAGCCAGAGCUACAUAGUGUGGCCAUGUAGUGUGGCUACAUAGUGUAUCCAGAAAAAAGAAAUCUAUUUAAAAAUUUUCAACAUUUAUGAGCUAAAAGGUAAGCCAGAGAAUGGAGGAAGACAUCUCCAAAGACUAUCUCAAUAUAUCAGGAUGUAAAUGCAGAUUAAAAACACAUAAAACACUGUAAUAGAAAAACUACCACAUUAAAAGAAUGGACAAAGUAUUUGCUCAUAUGAUUAACAGAAGAUCUAAGGAUGACAAGUGGGUAUGUGAGAAGAUAGCCAAUAUCUAGAGUUAUCAGUAAAAUACAAAUUAGAACAGUGAUGUAUUUCUAUAGACCUGCUAAAAUGGCUGAAUCACAAGACUGUUAAUAUCAAUGGCUAAUGAAAGGC
This 1713-nucleotide long non-coding RNA is filed under the name Mus musculus (house mouse). RNAcentral's name for it is "long non-coding RNA chr6:108501708-108503421". The record is from RNAcentral. Lineage: Eukaryota; Metazoa; Chordata; Mammalia; Rodentia; Muridae.